GCAAAUUACCCACUCCCGGCACGGGGAGGUAGUGACRAAAAAUAACGAUACGGGACUCAUCCGAGGCCCCGUAAUCGGAAUGAGCACACUUUAAAUCCUUUAACGAGUAUCCAUUGGAGGGCAAGUCUGGUGCCAGCAGCCGCGGUAAUUCCAGCUCCAAUAGCGUAUAUUAAAGUUGUUGCGGUUAAAAAGCUCGUAGUCGGACUUGUGUCACACGCUGCCGGUUCACCGCCCGUCGGUGUUUAACUGGCAUGCACGUGCUGACGUCCUGCCGGUGGCCCGAGCCGGUCCGGGAGCUCUGGGUGCGGGAUUCCCUUCGGGGGCCCGCCUCGAACCCGGUGUCCGGGGAGGGCCUACUCAUACCCCUCGCGGUGCUCUUAACCGAGUGUCUCGAUGGGCCGGCACGUUUACUUUGAACAAAUUAGAG
RNAcentral lists this ribosomal RNA (427 nucleotides) under Geoscapheus crenulatus. RNAcentral's name for it is "SSU rRNA". It matches the Rfam family "Eukaryotic small subunit ribosomal RNA", at positions 438 to 782 of the family's 1831-position model. The record is from RNAcentral. Lineage: Eukaryota; Metazoa; Arthropoda; Insecta; Blattodea; Blaberidae.